This 852-nucleotide ribosomal RNA is filed under the name uncultured bacterium. RNAcentral describes it as "bacterial SSU rRNA". It matches the Rfam family "Bacterial small subunit ribosomal RNA", at positions 29 to 876 of the family's 1533-position model. The record is from RNAcentral.
AUGACUCGUGCUGGUGUGGAAAGAAUGCAAGUCGAACGAAGAAUAUGAUUAGUUUACUAAGAGUAUUUUUAGUGGCGGACGGGUUAGUAACACGUGAGCAACCUGCCUUAAAGUGGGGGAUAGUCCUGGGAAACUAGGUUUAAUACCGCAUGUGAUCUUUGGAUCAAAGAUGGCCUUUGGCUAUCGCUUUAAGAUGGGCUCGCGUCCUAUCAGCUAGUUGGUGAGGUAAAGGCUCACCAAGGCGACGACGGGUAGCUGUCCUGAGAGGAAGAUCAGCAACACUGGAACUGAGACACGGUCCAGACACCUACGGGUGGCAGCAGUCGAGAAUCAUUCACAAUGGACGAAAGUCUGAUGGUGCAACGCCGCGUGGAGGAUGAAGGCCCUAGGGUCGUAAACUCCUGUCAUAUAAGAGUAAGGCAUAGACGUUAAUAGCGUUUAUGUUUGAUAGUAUUAUAAGAGGAAGGGACGGCUAACUUCGUGCCAGCAGCCGCGGUAAUACGAAGGUCCCGAGCGUUAUUCGGAAUCACUGGGCGUAAAGGGAGCGUAGGCUGCGUGGUAAGUCAGAUGUGAAAUCUCAGGGCUCAACCUUGAAACUGCAUUCGAUACUGCCAUGCUAGAGUAAUGGAGAGGUAACUGGAAUUCUCGGUGUAGCAGUGAAAUGCGUGGAUAUCGAGAGGAAGACCAAUGGCGAAAGCAGGUUACUGUACAUUUACUGACGCUGAGCUCGAAGGCUAGGGUAGCGAAAGGGAUUAGAUACCCCUGUAGUCCUAGCAGUAAACGAUGUGCGCUUGGUGUGGGAGGGUUCGACCCCUUCUGUGCCGGAGCUAACGCGUUAAGCGCACCGCCUGG